GGCGCACGGGUGAGUAACGCGUGGGAACGUACCCUUUAGUACGGAAUAACCAAGGGAAACUUUGGCAAUACCGUAUACGCCCUUCGGGGGAAAGAUUUAUCGCUAAAGGAUCGGCCCGCGUCUGAUUAGGUAGUUGGUAGGGUAACGGCCUACCAAGCCUACGAUCAGUAGCUGGUCUGAGAGGAUGAUCAGCCACACUGGGACUGAGACACGGCCCAGACUCCUACGGGAGGCAGCAGUGGGGAAUAUUGGACAAUGGGGGAAACCCUGAUCCAGCCAUGCCGCGUGAGUGAAGAAGGCCUUCGGGUUGUAAAGCUCUUUCGGCGGGGACGAUGAUGACGGUACCCGCAUAAGAAGCCCCGGCAAACUUCGUGCCAGCAGCCGCGG
RNAcentral lists this ribosomal RNA (387 nucleotides) under uncultured bacterium. RNAcentral's name for it is "bacterial SSU rRNA". It matches the Rfam family "Bacterial small subunit ribosomal RNA", at positions 97 to 520 of the family's 1533-position model. The record is from RNAcentral.